CACAUGAUGUGAUUAUCAUAUGAUACAUAUAACUAUAAAAUUAUCAUAUAAGUUAUAUCAUGCGAU
MicroRNA precursor from Oreochromis aureus, 66 nucleotides. The record is from Ensembl. NCBI's taxonomy places the organism in Eukaryota, Metazoa, Chordata, Actinopteri, Cichliformes, Cichlidae.